This 407-nucleotide long non-coding RNA is filed under the name Nicotiana benthamiana. Its description in RNAcentral is "long non-coding RNA (NBEN_LNC038559)". Lineage: Eukaryota; Viridiplantae; Streptophyta; Magnoliopsida; Solanales; Solanaceae. The record is from RNAcentral.
UUAUUCGCUAUAUCAAUAUUUCCCUUAACUUUUCUCUCUUCUCCCUCAACUCUCUAUCCUUAUUUCCUCUCUUCGCCCUCGAGAAGGCUGCCGUCGGUCAGCUACUCCAGCGGAGCUCUACCGGAGCUCAACCAAAUAGAUACCUCUCCCCUUCUUCCAUUAUCUCAUCUUCACCAUUAGAUCCAUCCGUUUCUCUCCAUUUUCCCCACUCCCAUCUCCGUUGUCAGAUGUAGAUCCAAAUAUCAGGAAGUCGUGAUGAGUCCUUGACCAAUGAUGUAGUUUAUUUUUGGACUAGGAGUAAAUUAAUGCAAAGCAAAAGUAGUAGUCUCAGGAGUACCAAAGGUAAAAUUAAGACUAGGACUACCACUUUCAAUGUCCAUCGAUUGAUGUGAAAACGGAAGCUUGAG